AUGAACGCUGGCGGCGUGCCUAAUACAUGCAAGUCGAGCGAACAGACGAGGAGCUUGCUCCUUUGACGUUAGCGGCGGACGGGUGAGUAACACGUAGGUAACCUACCUAUAAGACUGGGAUAACUUCGGGAAACCGGAGCUAAUACCGGAUAAUAUUUCGAACCGCAUGGUUCGAUAGUGAAAGAUGGCUUUGCUAUCACUUAUAGAUGGACCUGCGCCGUAUUAGCUAGUUGGUAAGGUAACGGCUUACCAAGGCAACGAUACGUAGCCGACCUGAGAGGGUGAUCGGCCACACUGGAACUGAGACACGGUCCAGACUCCUACGGGAGGCAGCAGUAGGGAAUCUUCCGCAAUGGGCGAAAGCCUGACGGAGCAACGCCACGUGAGUGAUGAAGGUCUUCGGAUCGUAAAACUCUGUUAUUAGGGAAGAACAAACGUGUAAGUAACUGUGCACGUCUUGACGGUACCUAAUCAGAAAGCCACGGCUAACUACGUG
This 496-nucleotide ribosomal RNA is filed under the name uncultured bacterium. RNAcentral describes it as "partial 16S ribosomal RNA". It matches the Rfam family "Bacterial small subunit ribosomal RNA", at positions 29 to 507 of the family's 1533-position model. The record is from RNAcentral.